UAGGUUAAUGAGGCGAACCGGGGGAACUGAAACAUCUAAGUACCCCGAGGAAAAGAAAUCAACCGAGAUUCCCCCAGUAGCGGCGAGCGAACGGGGAGCAGCCCAGAGCCUGAAUCAGUGUGUGUGUUAGUGGAAGCGUCUGGAAAGGCGCGCGAUACAGGGUGACAGCCCCGUACACAAAAAUGCACAUGCUGUGAGCUCGAUGAGUAGGGCGGGACACGUGGUAUCCUGUCUGAAUAUGGGGGGACCAUCCUCCAAGGCUAAAUACUCCUGACUGACCGAUAGUGAACCAGUACCGUGAGGGAAAGGCGAAAAGAACCCCGGCGAGGGGAGUGAAAAAGAACCUGAAACCGUGUACGUACAAGCAGUGGGAGCCUCUUUAUGGGGUGACUGCGUACCUUUUGUAUAAUGGGUCAGCGACUUAUAUUCUGUAGCAAGGUUAACCGAAUAGGGGAGCCGAAGGGAAACCGAGUCUUAACUGGGCGUUAAGUUGCAGGGUAUAGACCCGAAACCCGGUGAUCUAGCCAUGGGCAGGUUGAAGGUUGGGUAACACUAACUGGAGGACCGAACCGACUAAUGUUGAAAAAUUAGCGGAUGACUUGUGGCUGGGGGUGAAAGGCCAAUCAAACCGGGAGAUAGCUGGUUCUCCCCGAAAGCUAUUUAGGUAGCGCCUCGUGAAUUCAUCUCCGGGGGUAGAGCACUGUUUCGGCAAGGGGGUCAUCCCGACUUACCAACCCGAUGCAAACUGCGAAUACCGGAGAAUGUUAUCACGGGAGACACACGGCGGGUGCUAACGUCCGUCGUGAAGAGGGAAACAACCCAGACCGCCAGCUAAGGUCCCAAAGUCAUGGUUAAGUGGGAAACGAUGUGGGAAGGCCCAGACAGCCAGGAUGUUGGCUUAGAAGCAGCCAUCAUUUAAAGAAAGCGUAAUAGCUCACUGGUCGAGUCGGCCUGCGCGGAAGAUGUAACGGGGCUAAACCAUGCACCGAAGCUGCGGCAGCGACGCUUAUGCGUUGUUGGGUAGGGGAGCGUUCUGUAAGCCUGCGAAGGUGUGCUGUGAGGCAUGCUGGAGGUAUCAGAAGUGCGAAUGCUGACAUAAGUAACGAUAAAGCGGGUGAAAAGCCCGCUCGCCGGAAGACCAAGGGUUCCUGUCCAACGUUAAUCGGGGCAGGGUGAGUCGACCCCUAAGGCGAGGCCGAAAGGCGUAGUCGAUGGGAAACAGGUUAAUAUUCCUGUACUUGGUGUUACUGCGAAGGGGGGACGGAGAAGGCUAUGUUGGCCGGGCGACGGUUGUCCCGGUUUAAGCGUGUAGGCUGAUUUUCCAGGCAAAUCCGGAAAAUCAAGGCUGAGGCGUGAUGACGAGGCACUACGGUGCUGAAGCAACAAAUGCCCUGCUUCCAGGAAAAGCCUCUAAGCAUCAGGUAACAUCAAAUCGUACCCCAAACCGACACAGGUGGUCAGGUAGAGAAUACCAAGGCGCUUGAGAGAACUCGGGUGAAGGAACUAGGCAAAAUGGUGCCGUAACUUCGGGAGAAGGCACGCUGAUAUGUAGGUGAAGCGACUUGCUCGUGGAGCUGAAAUCAGUCGAAGAUACCAGCUGGCUGCAACUGUUUAUUAAAAACACAGCACUGUGCAAACACGAAAGUGGACGUAUACGGUGUGACGCCUGCCCGGUGCCGGAAGGUUAAUUGAUGGGGUUAGCGGUAACGCGAAGCUCUUGAUCGAAGCCCCGGUAAACGGCGGCCGUAACUAUAACGGUCCUAAGGUAGCGAAAUUCCUUGUCGGGUAAGUUCCGACCUGCACGAAUGGCGUAAUGAUGGCCAGGCUGUCUCCACCCGAGACUCAGUGAAAUUGAACUCGCUGUGAAGAUGCAGUGUACCCGCGGCAAGACGGAAAGACCCCGUGAACCUUUACUAUAGCUUGACACUGAACAUUGAGCCUUGAUGUGUAGGAUAGGUGGGAGGCUUUGAAGUGUGGACGCCAGUCUGCAUGGAGCCGGCCUUGAAAUACCACCCUUUAAUGUUUGAUGUUCUAACGUUGGCCCCUGAUCGGGGUUGCGGACAGUGUCUGGUGGGUAGUUUGACUGGGGCGGUCUCCUCCUAAAGAGUAACGGAGGAGCACGAAGGUUGGCUAAUCCUGGUCGGACAUCAGGAGGUUAGUGCAAUGGCAUAAGCCAGCUUGACUGCGAGCGUGACGGCGCGAGCAGGUGCGAAAGCAGGUCAUAGUGAUCCGGUGGUUCUGAAUGGAAGGGCCAUCGCUCAACGGAUAAAAGGUACUCCGGGGAUAACAGGCUGAUACCGCCCAAGAGUUCAUAUCGACGGCGGUGUUUGGCACCUCGAUGUCGGCUCAUCACAUCCUGGGGCUGAAGUAGGUCCCAAGGGUAUGGCUGUUCGCCAUUUAAAGUGGUACGCGAGCUGGGUUUAGAACGUCGUGAGACAGUUCGGUCCCUAUCUGCCGUGGGCGCUGGAGAACUGAGGGGGGCUGCUCCUAGUACGAGAGGACCGGAGUGGACGCAUCACUGGUGUUCGGGUUGUCAUGCCAAUGGCACUGCCCGGUAGCUAAAUGCGGAAGAGAUAAGUGCUGAAAGCAUCUAAGCACGAAACUUGCCCCGAGAUGAGUUCUCCCUGAGACUUAGAGUCUCCUGAAGGAACGUUGAAGACGACGACGUUGAUAGGCCGGGUGUGUAAGCGCAGCGAUGCGUUGAGCUAACCGGUACUAAUGAACCGUGAGGCUUAACCUU
RNAcentral lists this ribosomal RNA (2740 nucleotides) under Escherichia coli KTE38. RNAcentral describes it as "bacterial LSU rRNA". It matches the Rfam family "Bacterial large subunit ribosomal RNA". The record is from RNAcentral. Lineage: Bacteria; Pseudomonadati; Pseudomonadota; Gammaproteobacteria; Enterobacterales; Enterobacteriaceae.